GAUGACCUGAUGAUCGGAUGGGUCAAAGUAUUGCAAAGCAACCUUCUAGAACCUACUGGCAUAUGGUUACUAUAUAAUUCAUCUCUUUGACCCAAAUACUCAAGGUGACUUAUGGUUUAAUUGUUAACCCUAAUUAAGUUGACCAAAUUGUAUUUCAACCUUUCAAAUCUAUCUCAUAAAUUAUCCUGACCAAAAUUUUGCUAAAUUAAAAAAUACUGAUGCAUAUCUCCUACCAAUUCAGAGGGAUCAAUUCCAUCUUGACUCACACACCGACUAGAUAAGUACUUGACUGCACCUAGUAUACUUCCAUCACUAAGUUAGAAACUCAGAUAGUCUGAUACUAAAGUAUAGUGAGUUGCUUACAAGUCAUCGUAGUGGUCUC
This 382-nucleotide long non-coding RNA is filed under the name Elaeis guineensis (African oil palm). RNAcentral's name for it is "long non-coding RNA (EGUI_LNC068098)". Lineage: Eukaryota; Viridiplantae; Streptophyta; Magnoliopsida; Arecales; Arecaceae. The record is from RNAcentral.